Molecule: ribosomal RNA, 303 nt
Filed under: uncultured bacterium
Lineage: Bacteria
Description: partial 16S ribosomal RNA
Rfam family: Bacterial small subunit ribosomal RNA
Source: RNAcentral
AGCAGUAGCCGCGGUAAAACGUAGGGUGCAAGCGUUAAUCGGAAUUACUGGGCGUAAAGCGUGCGCAGGCGGUUAUAUAAGACAGAUGUGAAAUCCCCGGGCUCAACCUGGGAACUGCAUUUGUGACUGUAUAGCUAGAGUACGGCAGAGGGGGAUGGAAUUCCGCGUGUAGCAGUGAAAUGCGUAGAUAUGCGGAGGAACACCGAUGGCGAAGGCAAUCCCCUGGGCCUGUACUGACGCUCAUGCACGAAAGCGUGGGGAGCAAACAGGAUUAGAUACCCGUGUAGUCCCUGUCUCUUAUAC